CUUGCUUCUCUUGAGAGCGGCGGACGGGUGAGUAAUGCCUAGGAAUCUGCCUGGUAGUGGGGGAUAACGUUCGGAAACGGACGCUAAUACCGCAUACGUCCUACGGGAGAAAGCAGGGGACCUUCGGGCCUUGCGCUAUCAGAUGAGCCUAGGUCGGAUUAGCUAGUUGGUGGGGUAAUGGCUCACCAAGGCGACGAUCCGUAACUGGUCUGAGAGGAUGAUCAGUCACACUGGAACUGAGACACGGUCCAGACUCCUACGGGAGGCAGCAGUGGGGAAUAUUGGACAAUGGGCGAAAGCCUGAUCCAGCCAUGCCGCGUGUGUGAAGAAGGUCUUCGGAUUGUAAAGCACUUUAAGUUGGGAGGAAGGGUUGUAGAUUAAUACUCUGCAAUUUUGACGUUACCGACAGAAUAAGCACCGGCUAACUCUGUGCCAGCAGCCGCGGUAAUACAGAGGGUGCAAGCGUUAAUCGGAAUUACUGGGCGUAAAGCGCGCGUAGGUGGUUUGUUAAGUUGGAUGUGAAAUCCCCGGGCUCAACCUGGGAACUGCAUUCAAAACUGACUGACUAGAGUAUGGUAGAGGGUGGUGGAAUUUCCUGUGUAGCGGUGAAAUGCGUAGAUAUAGGAAGGAACACCAGUGGCGAAGGCGACCACCUGGACUAAUACUGACACUGAGGUGCGAAAGCGUGGGGAGCAAACAGGAUUAGAUACCCUGGUAGUCCACGCCGUAAACGAUGUCAACUAGCCGUUGGGAAGCCUUGAGCUUUUAGUGGCGCAGCUAACGCAUUUA
RNAcentral lists this ribosomal RNA (789 nucleotides) under uncultured bacterium. RNAcentral's name for it is "bacterial SSU rRNA". It matches the Rfam family "Bacterial small subunit ribosomal RNA", at positions 79 to 863 of the family's 1533-position model. The record is from RNAcentral.